RNAcentral lists this ribosomal RNA (289 nucleotides) under uncultured Flavobacterium sp. RNAcentral's name for it is "partial 16S ribosomal RNA". It matches the Rfam family "Bacterial small subunit ribosomal RNA", at positions 1 to 297 of the family's 1533-position model. The record is from RNAcentral. Lineage: Bacteria; Pseudomonadati; Bacteroidota; Flavobacteriia; Flavobacteriales; Flavobacteriaceae.
GUCAGAGUUUGAUCCUGGCUCAGGAUGAACGCUAGCGGCAGGCUUAACACAUGCAAGUCGAGGGGUAUUGGUUUUCGGACCAAGAGACCGGCGCACGGGUGCGUAACGCGUAUGCAAUCUACCUUUUGCAGAGGGAUAGCCCAGAGAAAUUUGGAUUAAUACCUCAUAGUAUUUUCGAAUCGCAUGAUUUGAUUAUUAAAGUUCCAACGGUAAAAGAUGAGUAUGCGUCCCAUUAGCUAGUUGGUAAGGUAACGGCUUACCAAGGCUACGAUCAGUAGCUGGUCUGAGA